RNAcentral lists this long non-coding RNA (585 nucleotides) under Pavo cristatus (Indian peafowl). Its description in RNAcentral is "lncRNA (ENSPSTG00000002850.1)". Lineage: Eukaryota; Metazoa; Chordata; Aves; Galliformes; Phasianidae. The record is from RNAcentral.
AUGACAGUAACUAGAUCAGUCUUGUGCAACCUGCAGUGCACUAUCCAAAGAGGAAGGGCAAGUUGUUGGAAAUAUUCUCUUUCUUCAGCCCAAAGAGAGAAGCCCCACAUGCUCUACGCUUUGGUGCUUCUCAUAGGGUGCAGACGCAGCUCACGCGCACACGCAGCGGACGGCUCCCCGAGCCCCGCGCAGCACCGCCGCUCCCGCCGCCCGCAGCAGCUCAGCCCCAUCCCGCAGCUCCGAGCUCCGCCCGCGCUUCCGCCGCGCGCCCUUCGGACCGAGCCGCCCUCGUGCGCCGCGGCCACGGCGAGAAGAUGCCGCCCGCGCGGCUGCGGCGGGACGGGGCGGCAGCGCCCAUCCGCGGCGGCGGGAGGAGCUACCCGAGGUGCCGCUGCCCGGCCGGGGCGCUCCUCCCGGCGGGCCCGGCCCCGCGGCGCGCACGGCGGCCCGUCGAGCAGUCCCCUAGCGAGCACCCAUCGCCGCCGCGCCGGCUGCUCCCCGGGGCCCGGCGCCGCGCAGCCGGGCGGCAGGGAACAUGGCGCGGGGAGAGGAGCGGCGGCAGGAAUCUGGAGAUUGUGUUUCUGA